AGAUGCCCGAUUUCUUACAAAACUUUUGUCUAUCUCUAAGAAAAGUAUUAGUGAGAACGCCGUUUUAAAUCACUCGAUGACAACUGGAAAGAUUGGUUUGCCAUUAGACGACAAACAACAAUUUCUUAAAAACUCAAGAGGGACUGUGAAGCUUUUUUUCGGCAGCUACACAGUUAGCAGUAUCCCAUCAGUCCAGCGGCUCGUUGAAGCUCACCCUGGAGAGGAAUUCCUCACAGAAACACCACAAUCACAAUCUGGACUUCAGAUUGAGUCAUACUUAAAGAAGAAAGAUGGCACGGUUAAACCAACAACUCUGAAACACCAUGAUCAGAGCAGUCAUUCAGUUGUAGGCAUGAAUCAUACCUUUUUCACUACAAUUUCGCACAAGAUUGUUUCAAGCCCAAUUCACAGUGCUGUUUCCCCUGUUGCUCUCUUAAAAACAGAGUUUAAAAAACAUUUGACCUUCUCUGCUUCACCGUCAGUAUCUAUUGCGCGAACAAUGACACAGACAAUUGGACUUGAUAACCACAAAGAUUCACUUCAUAUGUUUGUAAAUUUAUUAAAAAUGUUAAAUUGCAUCUUCGGAACAUGACAUCCAGCCCAAUUUCUGGCAUCAGUAGGCACACAACAGCUGCAGCACGACCAGAAGGGGCUUAAAACAUGUCACCCCUUGAAUCAUUCACUGGAAUAACUUCACCAACUUUCAUUUUGCAUCUUAUUCAAAUGCAGAAUGUGUUGCAUAAAGAGCAUGUGAACUUAACUGAAAACCAGACUGAAUUUUUCUCAACAGUAAAUGAGCAUUCACAAACGACACAAUCAAACUUUCCUUCUGACGAAAUGUCCAGUUCAGGCGCAACAGAAGUUGUACAAAAACACCUUGGGCGGACUGCGCAGUCGGCUGUUACUGGGAAAAAGUUCUCUCCUAUUGUCCACACGGAUUUGAGUUUCUCAAGUACAGAGACACAAUCGCUCCCCAGAGGUUCAUUACAGUCCAGGGAAGGGAGUGAAGAUAUUUCACAUGACACCACUCCAUUUGCUGAAAGUGACUCAGGGGUAUCUGCUGGGUUUGUGUCAGACCUGCCAGUGAUAAACAGGAAGAGGAGGAUUAUAUCACCCGAUUCUCUCAGCGGACUGGCGCAAAUCUCAGAUGAUAUCUGCGGCACUGGCAACUACACAGCAGAGAUGAGUCUGAACUUGGAGAGAGAUAUCAUGCCUGGAGAUCUCAUCCCUGCCCUCGGAAACCUAUGUGUCGUCAUCAUCCUCAAAACAAAUAACAGCCAGGUGAACCUAGAGAUAAAAUCCUGCUGCCUCUCGCCCACCAUCAGACUUGAUGAAUUUAACACCACCUGCUGCAUUUUUUCCAGCAGUGCGUUCAGAGUCGAAUUGCACAUCUCAGAGAGGAAGCAGGGGCCAUCUUCAGCAGCACGGGACACCGUUCUUUCGGCCCUGUUCUGAAAGAAGCAGACAAUUCAUCAUUCCCUGAAACAGCAGAUGACACUGAAGCCAUGGUGGUGAUAAUCAGCUCAGUGGCCGGCUGUUUGCUGGCAUGUUUGGCUCUCUUUCUUGUCUGGAUAGCAAACAGAUGUUGUCUGCAAAGGUCUGCCUACUGCUGGUCCAGGGCCUUCUGUGAAUGCUAACAGAACACAGUUUACUGCAAACCAGCCAACCAGACUAAAAUCUGCAUUGAGCACUCAAUCAUUAUCUGACAGAUUUUGAAUUGCUCAUCAUUUUCAUUUUUGGGUUUUCUUGAAACCACUGCCUAGUUUCUUUGCUGAUUUUAGAUUUACCAUUCUUCAGUGUAGGAGAUACUGACAUCAAAGAUAUGUAUGAAUGCUUCUCUGUAU
Long non-coding RNA from Cyprinus carpio carpio, 1844 nucleotides. NCBI's taxonomy places the organism in Eukaryota, Metazoa, Chordata, Actinopteri, Cypriniformes, Cyprinidae. The record is from Ensembl.